GUGAUGGCGGCAGCUUACACAUGCAGUCGAGCGCACUCUUCGGAGUGAGCGGCGGACGGGUUAGUAACGCGUGGGAACGUGCCCUUCUCUAAGGAAUAGCCACUGGAAACGGUGAGUAAUACCUUAUACGCCCUUCGGGGGAAAGAUUUAUCGGAGAAGGAUCGGCCCGCGUUAGAUUAGAUAGUUGGUGGGGUAAUGGCCUACCAAGUCUACGAUCUAUAGCUGGUUUUAGAGGAUGAUCAGCAACACUGGGACUGAGACACGGCCCAGACUCCUACGGGAGGCAGCAGUGGGGAAUCUUGGACAAUGGGCGCAAGCCUGAUCCAGCCAUGCCGCGUGAGUGAUGAAGGCCUUAGGGUCGUAAAGCUCUUUCGCCAGAGAUGAUAAUGACAGUAUCUGGUAAAGAAACCCCGGCUAACUCCGUGCCAGCAGCCGCGGUAAUACGGAGGGGGUUAGCGUUGUUCGGAAUUACUGGGCGUAAAGCGCACGUAGGCGGAUCAGAAAGUAUAGGGUGAAAUCCCAGGGCUCAACCCUGGAACUGCCUUGUAAACUCCUGGUCUUGAGUUCGAGAGAGGUGAGUGGAAUUCCGAGUGUAGAGGUGAAAUUCGUAGAUAUUCGGAGGAACACCAGUGGCGAAGGCGGCUCACUGGCUCGAUACUGACGCUGAGGUGCGAAAGUGUGGGGAGCAAACAGGAUUAGAUACCCUGGUA
RNAcentral lists this ribosomal RNA (710 nucleotides) under Phaeobacter sp. RNAcentral's name for it is "bacterial SSU rRNA". It matches the Rfam family "Bacterial small subunit ribosomal RNA", at positions 33 to 792 of the family's 1533-position model. Lineage: Bacteria; Pseudomonadati; Pseudomonadota; Alphaproteobacteria; Rhodobacterales; Roseobacteraceae. The record is from RNAcentral.